AUUAAAAAAAUCAUUACUCAUAUAUCCCCUGAAUAAGGCAGGGAGUAUCUACCGGGAACCAUAAAUUACCGACUAUGAGUGAGAUUAAUUA
Molecule: non-coding RNA, 91 nt
Filed under: uncultured Clostridium sp.
Lineage: Bacteria; Bacillati; Bacillota; Clostridia; Eubacteriales; Clostridiaceae
Description: Purine riboswitch
Rfam family: Purine riboswitch aptamer
About the family: Riboswitches are metabolite binding domains within certain messenger RNAs that serve as precision sensors for their corresponding targets. Allosteric rearrangement of mRNA structure is mediated by ligand binding, and this results in modulation of gene expression.
Source: RNAcentral